This is an RNA transcript of Galeopterus variegatus (Sunda flying lemur), 2124 nucleotides long. It is a transcript of the gene named tripeptidyl peptidase I, with no coding region annotated. NCBI's taxonomy places the organism in Eukaryota, Metazoa, Chordata, Mammalia, Dermoptera, Cynocephalidae. The transcript is spliced from 14 exons. The record is from RefSeq and is a predicted model, not a curated record.
AGGCUCAUGUGAUCCGUCACGUGACAGCAGAUCUGCAGAAAGGAAGAAUGGGAGUCCGAUCCUGCCUCCUAGGGCUCCUUGCCCUCAUCGUCACUGGCAAAUGCAGUUACAGCCCAGAGCCCGACCAGCAGUGGACGCUGCCCCCAGGCUGGGUGUCCCUGGGCCGCGUGGACCCUGAGGAAGAGCUGAGUCUCACAUUUGCUCUGAGACAGCAGAACCUGGAAAGACUCUCGGAGCUGGUGCAGGCUGUGUCGGAUCCUGGCUCUCCUCGCUACGGAAAAUACCUAACCCUAGAGGAUGUGGCUGAGCUGGUCCGGCCAUCACCACUGACCCUCCACACCGUCCAAAAAUGGCUCUUAGCAGCUGGAGCCCGGAACUGCCAUUUAGUGACCACGCACGACUUUCUGACUUGCUCGCUGAGCGUCCGACAGGCAGAACUGCUGCUCUCUGGGGCUGAGUUUCAUCGCUAUGUGGGGGGACCUGCAGAGACCCAUGUUGUAAGGUCCCCACGUCCCUACCAGCUCCCUCAGGCCUUGGCCUCCCAUGUGGACUUUGUGGGGGGAUUGCACCGCUUUCCCCCCACAUCAUCCCUGAGGCAACGCUCUGAGCCACAGGUGGCACAGACUGUUGGCCUGCACCUGGGGGUGACCCCAUCCGUGAUCCGUGAGCGAUACAACUUGACGGCACAAGACGUGGGCUCUGGCACCAGCAACAACAGCCAGGCCUGUGCCCAGUUCCUGGAGCAGUACUUCCAUGCCUCAGAUCUGGCUGAGUUCAUGCGCCUCUUUGGUGGCAACUUUGCACACCAGGCAUCAGUAACCCGUGUGGUUGGACAACAGGGCCGGGGCCGGGCCGGGCUCGAGGCCAGUCUAGAUGUGCAGUACCUGAUGAGCGCUGGCGCCAACAUCUCCACCUGGGUCUACAGCAGUCCUGGCCGGCAUGAGGCACAAGAGCCCUUCCUGCAGUGGCUCCUGCUGCUCAGUAAUGAGUCAGCCCUGCCACAUGUGCAUACCGUGAGCUAUGGAGAUGACGAGGACUCCCUCAGCAGCGCCUACAUCCAGCGGGUCAACACUGAGCUCAUGAAGGCUGCUACUCGGGGUCUCACCCUGCUCUUUGCCUCAGGUGACAGUGGGGCUGGGUGUCGGUCUGUCUCUGGAAGACACCAGUUCCGUCCUAGCUUCCCUGCCUCCAGCCCCUAUGUCACCACAGUGGGAGGCACAUCCUUCCAAAAUCCUUUCCUCGUCACAAAUGAGGUUGUUGACUAUAUCAGUGGUGGUGGCUUCAGCAAUGUGUUCCCAAGGCCUUCAUACCAGGAGGAAGCUGUAUCCCAGUUCCUGAGCUCUAGCCCCCACCUGCCACCAUCUAGUUACUUCAAUGCCAGUGGCCGUGCCUACCCAGAUGUGGCUGCACUUUCCGAUGGCUACUGGGUGGUCAGCAAUAGGGUGCCCAUUCCAUGGGUGUCUGGAACUUCGGCCUCCACUCCAGUGUUUGGGGGGCUCUUAUCCUUGAUAAAUGAGCACAGAAUCCUCAGUGGCCGUCCCCCUCUUGGCUUUCUCAACCCAAGGCUGUACAAACAGCGUGGGACAGGACUCUUUGAUGUAACCCGUGGCUGCCAUGUGUCCUGUCUCAAUGAAGAGGUGGAAGGUCAGGGUUUCUGCUCUGGCCCUGGCUGGGAUCCUGUGACAGGCUGGGGAACACCCAACUUCCCAGCUCUGCUGAAGGCACUACUCAACCCUUGACCCUUUCCUGCCAGGAUAGCUGACCUGUCCCCUGCCUUGCAGCUUGGUCCCUUAUUCUGCCCUGUUGGAAUUCCUGCUGAACCUUUAACUGUUGACUGCUGUAGACAGCUUAUCUCCUUAACACUGAAAUGCUGUCAGCUUGACCUCACUCCCAACCCUACCCUGCUCUAUCACACUCAGGUCUUCCUACUCCUGCCUGUUUCUUCAACAAGAUGCUACAACCAGCAUUUUUUGCACACCAAUCUCUUCUUGCUCUUUUCAACCAGGCUUUUCCAAAGGGUUCUCUACACUGACUGUGUGCACUAUUUUACUUAAUAUUUGCUCAUUUCAUUGCAAUGGUACCUCUGCUCUCACCUUUUACUCUUUCCUCCUGUAACACUGAGGA